CAAAGGAGUCCAGACUCUGCCUUGGCCCAUCCCUCCCGCAUCCGUUGUGAGGCCUUCCCUUCAGGAGUUACAAACGAUGCAAAAACUGAGUCUCUCACUGUGCUUUGGCCAGGCCUACCACCAAGCGGCGGUAGAUGUGUCCCAGGACUUAAGAAAUAUGCCUGAACACGGGCAUCUCUGCAGAUCAGCCACUGUUCUAAAGCUCUGCACCAUUUUAUCUCUUUUCAUCUUCACAACACUCAGUAAGACUUCCUUGCAGCCAGAGGUGGUCAAGUGACUCAAUGUAGCCCAUGAGAUGUGAAGCAGGAGCAGCCUGAAAAAGAGAGGA
Molecule: long non-coding RNA, 328 nt
Organism: Eptesicus fuscus (big brown bat)
Lineage: Eukaryota; Metazoa; Chordata; Mammalia; Chiroptera; Vespertilionidae
Exons: 3
Source: RefSeq, a predicted model, not a curated record